UUGGAGGGCAAGUCUGGUGCCAGCAGCCGCGGUAAUUCCGCUCCAAUAGCGUAUAUUAAAGUUGUUGCAGUUAAAAAGCUCGUAGUUGAAUUUCGGGAUUGACACAUCGGUCGUGCCUUAAGGGGUAUGAACUGGUGUAGUCAAUUUCUCACCUUCUGGAGAACCGCGAUGCCCUUAAUUGGGUGUCGCGGGGAACCAGGACCUUUACUUUGAAAAAAUUAGAGUGUUUAAAGCAGGCAUUUUGCUUGAAUACAUUAGCAUGGAAUAAUAAAAUAGGACGGCAUGAUUCUAUUUUGUUGGUUUCUAGGAUCCCCGUAAUGAUUAAUAGGGAUAGUUGGGGGCAUUAGUAUUCAAUUGUCAGAGGUGAAAUUCUUGGAUUUAUUGAAGACUAACUACUGCGAAAGCAUUUGCCAAGGAUGUUUUCAUUAAUCAAGAACGAAAGUUAGGGGAUCGAAGACGAUCAGAUCCCGUCGUAGUCUUACCCAUAAACUAUGCCGACUAGGAAUCAGACGAUGUUAUUUUUUAAUGACUCAUUCGGCGCCUUACGGGAAAC
RNAcentral lists this ribosomal RNA (553 nucleotides) under Entrophospora claroidea. Its description in RNAcentral is "SSU rRNA". It matches the Rfam family "Eukaryotic small subunit ribosomal RNA", at positions 548 to 1098 of the family's 1831-position model. The record is from RNAcentral. Lineage: Eukaryota; Fungi; Glomeromycota; Glomeromycetes; Entrophosporales; Entrophosporaceae.